GACGAACGCUGGCGGCGUGCUUAACACAUGCAAGUCGAACGGAAAGGCCCUGCUUUUGUGGGGUGCUCGAGUGGCGAACGGGUGAGUAACACGUGAGUAACCUGCCCUUGACUUUGGGAUAACUUCAGGAAACUGGGGCUAAUACCGGAUAGGAGCUCCUGCUGCAUGGUGGGGGUUGGAAAGUUUCGGCGGUUGGGGAUGGACUCGCGGCUUAUCCGCUUGUUGGUGGGGUAGUGGCUUACCAAGGCUUUGACGGGUAGCCGGCCUGGGAGGGUGACCGGCCACAUUGGGACUGAGAUACGGCCCAGACUCCUACGGGAGGCAGCAGUGGGGAAUAUUGCACAAUGGGCGGAAGCCUGAUGCAGCAACGCCGCGUGCGGGAUGACGGCCUUCGGGUUGUAAACCGCUUUCGCCGGUGACGAAGCGUGAGUGACGGUAAUGGGUAAAGAAGCACCGGCUAACUACGUG
This 468-nucleotide ribosomal RNA is filed under the name uncultured bacterium. Its description in RNAcentral is "partial 16S ribosomal RNA". It matches the Rfam family "Bacterial small subunit ribosomal RNA", at positions 28 to 507 of the family's 1533-position model. The record is from RNAcentral.